RNAcentral lists this small RNA (397 nucleotides) under Serratia liquefaciens. RNAcentral describes it as "cspA thermoregulator". It matches the Rfam family "cspA thermoregulator", at positions 3 to 377 of the family's 428-position model. The record is from RNAcentral. Lineage: Bacteria; Pseudomonadati; Pseudomonadota; Gammaproteobacteria; Enterobacterales; Yersiniaceae.
CGGCCUGUGAUACAGACCUAUUUAUGUUCGAGUAUAGAGUUAAGCAGUUCCUCCAAAAACGUUAUCAUCUGAUUCCGCUUCAAAGACGAACCUUCUAAGUACCUCCCAUAAGUAAUGUUUCUAAAAACGGCCUAAAUUGCCUUAUGGCAGGUUUUGUAUAUAUAUUUAAAAGGUAAAUGUGUAAUGUCUAAGAAGACUGGUCAGGUGAAGUGGUUCAACGAAAGCAAAGGUUUUGGUUUUAUUGAACAGAACGACGGUGGAAAAGAUGUAUUCGUACAUUUCUCUGCAAUCGCGACCGACGGUUUCAAAACUCUGGCUGAAGGCCAGUGUGUUGAGUAUACCAUCCAGGACAGCCCGCGCGGGCCGGCUGCCGCUAACGUUGUUGCUCUGUAAGAAA